RNAcentral lists this ribosomal RNA (497 nucleotides) under uncultured bacterium. RNAcentral describes it as "partial 16S ribosomal RNA". It matches the Rfam family "Bacterial small subunit ribosomal RNA", at positions 28 to 507 of the family's 1533-position model. The record is from RNAcentral.
GAUGAACGCUGGCGGCGUGCCUAAUAUAUGCAAGUCGAGCGAACGGACGAGAAGCUUGCUUCUCUGAUGUUAGCGGCGGACGGGUGAGUAACACGUGGAUAACCUACCUAUAAGACUGGGAUAACUUCGGGAAACCGUAGCUAAUACCGGAUAAUAUUUUGAACCGCAUGGUUCAAAAGUGAAAGACGGUCUUGCUGUCACUUAUAGAUGGAUCCGCGCUGCAUUAGCUAGUUGGUAAGGUAACGGCUUACCAAGGCAACGAUGCAUAGCCGACCUGAGAGGGUGAUCGGCCACACUGAAACUGAGACACGGUCCAGACUCCUACGGGAGGCAGCAGUAGGGAAUCUUCCGCAAUGGGCGAAAGCCUGACGGAGCAACGCCGCGUGAGUGAUGAAGGUCUUCGGAUCGUAAAACUCUGUUAUUAGGGAAGAACAUAUGUGUAAGUAACUGUGCACAUCUUGACGGUACCUAAUCAGAAAGCCACGGCUAACUACGUG